CAACAUCACUCUCAUGGCUUCUUCCUCUUUGACUCAGGUCUACCUGAGUUUCCACGGCCCAGACCUUCCUAGAGUAUUUCUCAAUCAUUUACACGAUCACUUUGCACGCAAGGGAAUGACGACGUUCAAGGAGGUCAAAACAGGCCAGACGAUCGGACCUGAAUCCCUAAAAGCGAUAAGAGAAUCGAGAGUCUCGAUCGUGGUGCUAUCUAAGAAUUAUAUAUCAUCAAGAUGGUGUUUGGAUGAGCUGGUUGAAAUCUUUAAGUGCAAUGAAGCUUCGGGUCAGAUGAUUGUGAUGCCUAUUUUUUUACCAAAUUAGUCCGUCCCUUGUACGGCUACUAGAGGGGGAAUUCGGAAGAUGCUUUAUUGAGAGAACUUGUCAAGGGGAAACAGAGGAAGUGAAGAAGAGAUGGAGCAGUGCUUUGGCACAUGUAGGAUCUCUCCGUGGAGAUUAUUCUCUAUUCUGGGAUGAUGAUGCGGCAAUGGUUGGAAAUAUUGCGGCUCGUGUUUCCCGCAUACUUAAAGGGUAAAUACUGCGGUUUGUGUUUCCAGGAUACAAGCAACAGCGAAUCACACAUAUAUAAGAUUAAAAACACAUAUAUGUCUUAUGAACACAUUUAGAUCGGUCUCUUCUUCCUUCUCUUCACGACUCUACGGUGGCGGGAUGGUGAUGGUCCUGUGUCACCUUCUCCGUUCGCCUCCCGUCUUCCUGGCUCGCCGGUGGUCCUGAGCCGGCGAGUAUCCGCAGCUUUGUGGGGAGGCGGCUACGAUUAGGUUUUCUGAUAGUAGAUUAGGGUUUCUGAUUUAAAUUGGUUAGCUACCGGUUUAGAUUAGUUUUAACCCGGGUCGAUUUUGGUUUGGUUAUCUGGUUUGGUUUGAUGUAAUUGGACUGGGUCUUAAGGGGAUUAAUGUAUGGGCCUAUUCCGAAAAUAGUACAUUGUACAUAUGUUUUUAAUAAAUUGCAAG
Long non-coding RNA from Capsella rubella, 966 nucleotides. RefSeq lists it as uncharacterized. The transcript has 2 exons. NCBI's taxonomy places the organism in Eukaryota, Viridiplantae, Streptophyta, Magnoliopsida, Brassicales, Brassicaceae. The record is from RefSeq and is a predicted model, not a curated record.